CCCUGUCAGUUAUUUGCCGUGAUUGCUCGUGUUCAAAUUUGCAUUUUGCUCCUCCUGUGUAACAUUUCUUUGAGUUUCCUGUCAACCGAAACGGCAUGUACAACUGCAUGAUGUCUGUUCUGAACAGCAGAGAGCGAAGGGAUUUUUCCCAGCAGAACGCUUCUGCCUGAAGGGCAGUCUGGGCUCUGUGGCACAGCGCUGCGCUGCUGUUCUUAACACCGGCAGUUAAACCUCAGGGCAAUGUCACCAUAAAUGCAUGUUAAGCUUUGAAAAAUCCCCAAAAUGAGAAAUCUACUUUUUCCCACAUGAGGCUCAGUGUGACAGAAGUAAAUAUAGAGAUUCCUUCUGCUCUUUCCUUAUGUUAUUGCAGUCUUUGAGGACAAAAGGGCUAGCAGGCAGGAAAAGGUAUUCAAAAAGUGGGUUUUAUUGUCACUUGGACAGGCCUGGAACAACAGCAUAGGGAAUACCUAAAUGAAAGAAAGAGAAUAUGCUCAAGUCUGGCAGUGCAGCACCCAUUUAAGGAUCUUACAUCCCUGUUAUUUGGAUUCUUUUCCAGGGGUCAUCUGAGUGCAGGCACCCGUAAUCCUUCUGAGGCAAGCAGGCAGUGCUCUGGGCUGUGCUGCUGCUCCAAACUGCAGACGUUGAAGUGCAGCACAGGCACGAAUCCUCACCUUGCACAUAGCUGCUGCAAAGCCCAGCUGUGUUGCUGCUCAUCUCCACCACGCAUUGGAAGGUUGCACGUCCCUGAACAAGCAAGAUGGAGCUUCUUCCACAUCUGUUGAGAUCCUACAGAGAACAAGUGUCCUGCUUUUUGUGCUGAGCGUCCUGUUGAAGAAUUCCAGGCUUCCACGCUCCUUUAAUGAGUCCUUCCAAGGACUGGCCCAUGUUGCCUGCGGCACAGUGCCGUCUGGGGGCUCUUGGAGUAGUACUUACGAGUUGGUGGGUGCAAUUUCUUAACCAGGAGCCCCAGGCGGGGAAAGUCAUUUCCAGGAAAGAAAAACAGAAACUUCUUUCUUUCAGGCUGACAGAAAAAUCAUUUAUUGUGUAAAACCUAAGCUUAAAACUAUUAAAAACCAGUAAUUUCCUUCCCCUCCCUCCACACACGCACAACACAUGAAUUGACACAUGGAAAAAGAACUUUCUGAAUUAGUUUCCUUAAACAUAUGGGGAGUCCUGACACCAGAACUAACCCUCGUGACCCAGGGACACAACAUUGUAAUAUCCCGUGGAAAUUAAUGAGCUCUUAGAAGUUUGCUUUUCAGAACAGCUGCUUUGACCAAAGGGAAUGCAGCUUUAAACAGGAGGAGGGCAUUGGCAAGAGACUUUCAGUAACAAGGCCUUAAAUCUUAGUUUAUUCUGAUUGCAAGAGUCCCCAUCUGCAAACCUUCUGAUUACACAACGCUGCUUUUUUUAUUUUUACAGUCUUCCUUUGUGUAGGAUAGAGGCUGGUUAAAUUCUGAGUGAAGCUGUUAAAUCCGACACGCCACGGUUACAUCAGAGUCUCUCCUCUGUUCAUAAGAAUGAGUCAGGAAAGUAACGCUUCAAACCCUUAUUGCCAUUAAAAUAGACACGCUAAAAUUGUUUAGGCAGUGGCGUAUGAAUGUUACACACACAUAAAUAACAGAUCAUAUUCUAUUAAGGCAGCCUUUCCUAAAGCCCAUUGCCAAAGAGCUGGCACCAGUCACAUGUUCUGUGUUUAACACAAAGCCAUUUCUCCCUGGGAGGGAAGAGCUGGAUGCCGGAGCCUGACUGCAGCCAGCCAGUAAUAGAGCUCUUUCUGUGUGGUUAGCAUAGGUUUCUUUUUUAAUGAAGUUUUUGCAGACUGAGUGACACCAAAUAAUAGAAAGAUGUAAGCAGAAAAGCAUGCAGUAAGCAGAGGGAAUUGGAACGUGGUGUUGUCAGUGGUUAGGGAGUGAGAUGUCUGCUAAGGAAAUAUUUAGAAAAACAUGCUUGCAGCUUUAAUAGCUGUAACUGGAAAGCGCCACAGCGGCUGUGUGCUGUGCAGAGAGUGCCACCCUCUGCUCCUGCUGAGCACAGAGCCCUGCUCUCCCACCUCUAUCCACCUCUAUCCCUCUUCUGCUACUUCUGAGACAUCUGCUCAGAAUUUGUACUUGUAGAAGCUGCAGCCUUUCCUUGGAAUGCUUUCGUUCUUCAUGACGCCAGGAAUAGGCUGAAUUCUGCAGCUCUGUGCAGACAGACUCACUGCAUUUAACACAACUGCUGGUCUUCGCUCCACCAGUCCCUUAAGAAGGGGAGUAAUGAGAGGGCAGGUGUUUUGAGCUGAGUUUACUGCAGUGGGUUACCCAAACACCCUGAUGGACAGGUAACUCUGCAUGUGGUCUGUUUUACCCUAAGAGCUGUCAGAGCCAAAAUAAAUAAAACAGCCUUCCCCUUUUAGGGGCA
Long non-coding RNA from Chrysolophus pictus (golden pheasant), 2403 nucleotides. Lineage: Eukaryota; Metazoa; Chordata; Aves; Galliformes; Phasianidae. The record is from Ensembl.